This 258-nucleotide ribosomal RNA is filed under the name uncultured bacterium. RNAcentral's name for it is "partial 16S ribosomal RNA". It matches the Rfam family "Bacterial small subunit ribosomal RNA", at positions 75 to 339 of the family's 1533-position model. The record is from RNAcentral.
GGAAAACAUUUAGAAAAACUUAGUGGCGAACGGGUGAGUAACGCGUGGGAAUUUACCUUAUGGCGAGGGAUAACUUUUGGAAACGAAAGCUAAUACCUCAUACGCUGAAAAGUGAAAGUAUUUUAUUUAAGAUACACCGUAAGAGAAGCCCGCGUCUGAUUAGCUUGUUGGUGAGGUAAUGGCUUACCAAGGCGAUGAUCAGUAGCUGGUCUGAGAGGAUGAGCAGCCACAUUGGGGCUGAGACACGACCCAAACUCC